Molecule: long non-coding RNA, 1029 nt
Organism: Myodes glareolus (Bank vole)
Lineage: Eukaryota; Metazoa; Chordata; Mammalia; Rodentia; Cricetidae
Source: RefSeq, a predicted model, not a curated record
CGCCGGGAGCGCGCCGGGCCGGGCCGAGGUCACACUAGCGCGACCGCCGUUUCCUGGUGCGCGCGUGGAGGGCGCAGGGUGACGCAGGCUCCUCCACGGUGCCACCGACGCGCGGUGGUGGGAGCCAGGGCACGGGUUGGGUUCGAAUCCAGCCAGCCGCUUUACGGUGGAAACCUGCCUCCCUGCCCCCAGUUAGACUAAAUUUAAGUGAGGGUCCAGCCCUGGGGGUUUGUGCAUUUUGUUCUUGAGAUGGCAGACUCUGUAUCGUCAGGGCGCGUUUUAUUUUCCUGCUCUUGUCCAUUUGUGGCACCAGACAACUUCAGGGACUACUAGGAAAAGAUGGGUGUGGGUGUAUGUUACCUAACCAUAUUCUGUUAGGUAACUAGAUAGGUUCUGAGAAACAUUGAGAGUAGACUCCCUCGUGGUUAACUCUGCGUUCUAUCUCCUGUUUCCCUGGUGACGUGAGAAAGGAAAAGCUAACAACUGCACCUCCUUAGGCCUCCUGGCCAAAAUGAAAUAUCCCUGCUCUAGGUGGAGACUUGGCAUCUCGAUCUGCUCCAAAGAUUUUAACAUUACAUACUAUUAUAUCCUCCGUUAAGCUGGCCAAGAGUCCACUCCCAGGAAAUCUGAUUUAUUUGGAGACACGUUAAAGAGGGCUUCUUACUGAACCCAGACUUCACUGCUUGUCUAGACUGACUGGCCACAGAGACCUUAAGAUCCUCCUGACUACUUCCGUGGUGCUGGGACUCCAAGGACACGCUACCAUAUUGGCUUUUACAUGGUUGCUGUGGAUCUGAACUCUUUGAUAAAUUCUAGCUUUGGCUAGAGAUGUGGCUCAGUUGUUCACCCUGGCUUUGAUCUCCAGCACCUUCUACGUUAUAUGUGUGGCACAUACCUAUACUCCCAUCACUGAGGAAGUGGAAACAGAAGAAUCAGAGAUUCAAGGUCAUGUACAGCAAUGUAGUGAGUCUGAAGCUUGCUUGUGACUACAUGAGACCCCAAACCAAAAAAUAAUAAACUUCAAUUCUG